UCUUUCACUGAUUCAAAGUAUACCGCGACAGUACGACACAUAUUUUGAGUGGCAGUGGUUGGUUUGACAACGCCCAGUAAACGCCCAACUGCUUAUAAGGCCAAAUGUACCAGUUAUCUAACGCACACUCAAGAUCAGUUCAAGCAUCAAUUAAAUUAAUAUAAGUUCAAAGAGUUCAAUCGAAGUAAUCGUUUCAUCCUAGACGAAUAUUUCAACAGUCUGAUGUUCACCAAAGCUAAAUUCGCCAGCGCGGCGAAGAUAUCGACAAGUCGAUCUCAUUGUGUCGUGGAAGUGCAAAGUGGCUUCUCCGGUGGUGUGGGAGUUGACCAAAAUCCACUGCAGAUGGGUCAGGAUCCAGUCCCACUGUCCCGGUGCCGGCCGCCAGCGGGCCAAUAUCCACCGCAACAUGGGUAUUAUAAUCCGGGAGCGUAUCCUCAACAGCAAGGAGAAUAUCCACAGCAAGGGCAAUAUCUGCAGCAAGGGCAAUAUCCGCAGCAAGGGCAAUAUCCUCAAGGACAAUAUCCGCAGCAAGGGCAAUAUCCACCACAAGGGCAAUAUCCUCAAGGACAAUAUCCGCAGAAGGGGCAAUAUCCACCUCAAGGGCAAUACCCACAACAGGGCGCCUACCCACCCCAGGGCGCUCCCCCGCAAGAAUCUGCUCCUCCAAUGGACUUUUUGAAGCCGGAGACGGCUGCCAAACUGGAGGGCCGCGCUUCGCUGACUCCGGAUGAGGAGCUGGCAGAGGAGGGCAGUGACCCCUCGCCGACGGCGCCGCCCAUCGACUCCAUGGACAAGCUGCCCGGCUACGAGGGACUCGACUUCACUGGAGGGGGAGCGCCUCCGCCGCCUCCUGCCGCCCUGCCCCCUCCGCCGGAGAAUUACGGCCAGGUGAACGUGCAGCACGAAGUACCCAGCACUGAGAGGAUCAGAGAGAUUGUGGCCGGCUACGUGGCCGAGCACUGCUGCUUCGGAAAGGGACCCAUCGAGGACAUGAAGAUUGUCACCGUGACGCCCACACCCGCCUUGAAGUACACGCUCGAGACCAUGACGGAGACGCGCAUCACGCGAUGGAACUAUACGUGCCGUGGCGUGGUGAGACCGUGCCGCCGCCCAGCGGUCCUCCGCCAGGACCCUGGGACGUGCUGAUCACCCUGGAGCCCUCCCAGUGGUUCCAGAACCUGAACUCUGUGGCGGAGGUGCCCAACACCCAGACGGUACGCGUCUGCCACAACUGCCGCGGUCUCCGGGAGACGCGCUGCACGGGCUGCCACGGACACGGAUACGUAAGUUAUGCCCUACCACGGACGUGGAUGCGUAAGUUACGUCCUACGCGAAUGCGUAAGUUACGCUCUGAUACGGACAGGAAACAUAAGUUACGCACUGACGCUGACGGGGGUACGCGACUCAUCAAUGGGUAUCAUGGGUAUCAUGCGUACUACGCAUGAUACCCAUUGAUAAGCACAGUGAUUCAUAAGCUAGGAUCUGUCCUGUCGGAUGCGAUUCGUAAGUUACGCAUUUAUGGUUACGCAUUUAUGCUAAGCGGUGAUAUGAAGUUCGCCAUUCAACUUAGGCACGAAUUUAAGCCACUAACUUAAAAGCCUGGGCUAAACUACGCACGAAGUGUGAAAAAGUGGGUGAGAUAAAGUGUUGUGAAGCAAUAUUUAUGAUUCUUUUGAAUGUUACGCACUAGACUUCAUCUUUCUCUCUCUCUCCUCUCUCUCUGUCUGUCUCUCUCUCUCUCUCUAUCUCUCCCUCUCUCUCUCUCUCUCUCUCUCUCUCUCUCUCUCUCUCCCGUUUUUUUUUUUCGCAGACACGGUGCAAUUGUUGCCAUCCGCACGGCAUAUCGACGCCCUCAAGCCGAUUGAACAACGAUUGCUCCUUCUGUCAUGGCCGAGGUUCCAGACGCUGUCUUACUUGCGAUGCUGCAGGGAUGAUUCCUUGUCCCACAUGUGAGGCCGUUGGCCACAUCCGCUGCUUCGUGGAACUCACAGUCAAAUGGCAAAACCACAAGGACAUCAAGGUAGUGGAGCGCACCGACCUGCCCGAUAACCUGAUCCGCUCCGUCUCCGGUCAGGAAGUGUUCAGAGCCGAGGAGCAGCGCGUGCACCCGAUCGUCGGCUUUCCGGACCGACUGGUCAGCGAGAGCUCCUGGGAGCUGGUGCACAAACACGGCCAGCAGUGGCCCCAGGAGCGGAUAUUCAGACAGCGUCACUCGGUGCAGUCUGUGCCGGUAUUUUGCGUCACCUACCACUACGACGGCAAACAGAACGACUUCUUCAUCUACGGAAACAGCCAGAAAAUCCACUUCCCCGACUACCCCAAACAGUGCUGCUGUGUGAUCAUGUGAAGUGAGAGCUUGACGUAUGAGAUAUUCGUGUGCUAGGCUGGACGAAAUCGUGUUUUGAUUGGUGUGUGUUUGAAGGACUAGGGGGAGUUCUACACAAUCUAUAGCCUUGAACUAGAGGCUCAUGGAGGCCUGCGUGUCUUUGAAGAAGCGCGACAAUGCGAUGACCCAGAAUUGAUUUAGUGACCAUUUGAAGAAUGAACUUUAUUGAUGUCUUUAUUGUCUUUUUGUCUUAUAUUUAUUUAUGUCAAUGUCUUUAUUGAUGAAUAUUUUGUUAAUUCGAUAUUGGCUAGGUAUGAGCUUAUGUAUGCUAAUUCAGAAUCUGUGAAGUAAGGGUGACUGACAUUUGCUCAAAGUCAAGGCACCUCGCAGUCUAGUUUUUAUGUUGAUGUCUGUCAGGUUAGACC
Amphibalanus amphitrite is the source of this 2751-nucleotide RNA transcript. It is a transcript of the gene named protein SSUH2 homolog, with no coding region annotated. The record is from RefSeq and is a predicted model, not a curated record. Lineage: Eukaryota; Metazoa; Arthropoda; Thecostraca; Balanomorpha; Balanidae. The transcript has 7 exons.